This 497-nucleotide ribosomal RNA is filed under the name uncultured bacterium. RNAcentral describes it as "partial 16S ribosomal RNA". It matches the Rfam family "Bacterial small subunit ribosomal RNA", at positions 28 to 507 of the family's 1533-position model. The record is from RNAcentral.
GACGAACGCUGGCGGCGUGCCUAAUACAUGCAAGUUGAGCGCUGAAGGUUGGUACUUGUACCAACUGGAUGAGCAGCGAACGGGUGAGUAACGCGUGGGGAAUCUGCCUUUGAGCGGGGGACAACAUUUGGAAACGAAUGCUAAUACCGCAUAAAAACUUUAAACACAAGUUUUAAGUUUGAAAGAUGCAAUUGCCUCACUCAAAGAUGAUCCCGCGUUGUAUUAGCUAGUUGGUGAGGUAAAGGCUCACCAAGGCGAUGAUACAUAGCCGACCUGAGAGGGUGAUCGGCCACAUUGGGACUGAGACACGGCCCAAACUCCUACGGGAGGCAGCAGUAGGGAAUCUUCGGCAAUGGACGAAAGUCUGACCGAGCAACGCCGCGUGAGUGAAGAAGGUUUUCGGAUCGUAAAACUCUGUUGGUAGAGAAGAACGUUGGUGAGAGUGGAAAGCUCAUCAAGUGACGGUAACUACCCAGAAAGGGACGGCUAACUACGUG